RNAcentral lists this ribosomal RNA (448 nucleotides) under Myliobatis aquila (common eagle ray). RNAcentral describes it as "partial 16S ribosomal RNA". It matches the Rfam family "Bacterial large subunit ribosomal RNA", at positions 1944 to 2528 of the family's 2925-position model. The record is from RNAcentral. Lineage: Eukaryota; Metazoa; Chordata; Chondrichthyes; Myliobatiformes; Myliobatidae.
CUCCGUGCGAAGGUAGCGUAAUCACUUGUCUUUUAAUUGAAGACCCGUAUGAAAGGCAUUACGAGAGUUUAUCUGUCUCUAUUUUCCAAUCAAUGAAAUUAGUCCUCUCGUGCAGAACCGAGAAUAAUAACAUAAGACGAGAAGACCCUAUGGAGCUUUAAACACUUGAGUUAUUUUUAAAACACCCAAACACCCUACGGACAUAAAUAAAAACUAAUUCUCUAACUUAACUUGUUUUUGGUUGGGGCGACCAAGGGGAAAAGAAAAACCCCCUUAUCGAAUGUGUGAGAUUCACUUAAAAACUAGAGCUACAGCUCUAAUUAAUAGAAAAUCUAACGAACAAUGACCCAGGAACAUUCCUAUUCCUGAUCAAUGAACCAAGUUACCCUAGGGAUAACAGCGCAAUCCUUUCUUAGAGUCCCCAUCGCCGAAAGGGUUUACGACCUAU